Long non-coding RNA from Brachypodium distachyon (stiff brome), 1786 nucleotides. RefSeq lists it as uncharacterized. The record is from RefSeq and is a predicted model, not a curated record. The transcript is spliced from 3 exons. Lineage: Eukaryota; Viridiplantae; Streptophyta; Magnoliopsida; Poales; Poaceae.
GGCAAAAUUGGUGAAAUUGAACAUGUGAAUUUGUGUAAAAAUUGAUGGAAUUUGGUUUGAAAAUGUUGAUUUGAUUGUGAUUGAGUCCUGUGCAUUAGAAAGAUUGUGAUUGAAUCCUGUGCAUUAGAAAUAUUAAGUUAGAUAAAUUUUGUGUUCGAACUAUGAAUUACAUGUUGCAUAUGUUGAAAUAGACAAGAAAAAUGAAGGAGGGAAUGUGAAAUAGGCCCUCCUCUGCACCACCACCAUAACAUCUUUCCGGCCCAAGCGGCCAAGCCUGACGAUCCCUUCCUCUCGACCUCUCUCGACUCCCUGUUUUCUCUCAUGUACGCAGUUUGCUCUCGCGCGUGCGCCAUAGACGACUUGUCGCCACCGUGCCGUCGUCGGCCGCCGACGAGCCGCCUCCUAGUACCCGGAUUGCACUCAACGUACUUUCCCUAUCGUUCAGGCCCUGUUCCUAGUACUUGAUUCGGAUUCGGUUGCCAAGGAAGGCUUUGAAUUCAACCUCCAACUAUAAACCGAUCUCGCCGCCCCCCGAAUAAAAUCCUUGUCCAAUAGAGUCCUCUGUUUGUUGUGGCUAUAUCUAGACUCCGGAGGCAAUCUAGGUUUCUUUUUGUUGUUGUGAAUUAUUAUCCGACUGGCCUUGUUCAAUCGCAAUCGAUGGGAUCCGCCAUCGCCGCCGCGGCUGGGAUGGUGGAACGGGAGUGGGCCUCCAUUAAGCAGCUUCCCGGCAGGCAGCAACAACGGAUUGCGGACCGCUGGUUGGAGGAUAUCAAGCGCAAGCAUCCUGACCUUGUAAUGGGCCCGCAGUCAAAAGAGGAGCGACACGCCUCCAUGGUUCUCCCCCAUGUCCGCAGUGCCCUUCGCCAUUACAAUUCCAACAAUCCGGUAACAGAUCAUUUAACCAUUCUGUCACGCCUAUGAUGGCGGAUGGGGAAGAUUGAGUGAAGGCGUGUCCUGUGUGAGUAAGCGUAUUUGGCGUGUACGCGUCUGUAAGUGGUGACCGUGGUUAUAAGGCCGAGAGUUCUCUCUUGCUGGACAAGUGGUGAAGUAAAAAGUAAAUCUGAAUCCCCAAUCCCAAUUCGUCCUCUCCCAGUCCCCUUUAUCGUUCUUCAAUUCGAUUCGAUGUCAAUUCCUAUUAGGUGACCGUAGAUCAUACAUAGGGAUACGACACAUUCAUACCAGCCCUUGCUUGCAUUCGUUCUUGUUGUUUUGGUUGAUUUCUGAACAAAGCUAUCGAUGAGACGAUUCAGUUUCCUAUGCCCCUUCGUGUGCUCUUUGUUUCAGGGCGCUGAGUUUGACCCCAUCGAGCCUUUGAUGUGCGAGCGUGUUGGUUUCCGAGACGAGAUUUGGUUCCAUGUCAACUUCUUAGCUCGCCCCCGCAAAAAGAAGCUUUCGGGUAGCAAAACGGAUGAUCCGCCAGACACCACUGUGCAGCACUUCUUCGCUGAGCUACACUACAACCGCUUGGACAGAGUCAUUGUUGAAGCAUGCAUCAUACUGGAAAAGCCGCUCGACCGCUUCGCAAAGAAGUACGUGUGCCUUCUGCAACGGUAGCUAUGGGAUUUUGCACCCAAGCAAUGGAGAAUUUGUAUGUGGGAAUAACAAGGCACACAAAAAGGAGUUUUACCGGACGAUGUACCUGUUCCAGAGGCAAUUUGAUAACUUGCCUCUGGUUAGUUAGCUGUUGGUUUUCGCAUUUCAAAUUAAAUGAGCAGAUGUUGUUAUAAGUUUAUUACUUAUGGAUAUCCAACAGCGUUGCAAAUGUAUAUGCAUGUUUUUGUUGUGA